RNAcentral lists this ribosomal RNA (510 nucleotides) under uncultured bacterium. Its description in RNAcentral is "partial 16S ribosomal RNA". It matches the Rfam family "Bacterial small subunit ribosomal RNA", at positions 28 to 507 of the family's 1533-position model. The record is from RNAcentral.
GACGAACGCUGGCGGCGUGCUUAACACAUGCAAGUCGAACGAAAAGCGAUGGAAUCUUGCUUCUGUCAGUCUGAGUGGCGGACGGGUGAGUAACGCGUAAUCAACCUGCGCUUCAGAGGGGGACAACAGUAGGAAACGACUGCUAAUACCGCAUACGCUCUAACCUCGGCAUCGAGGAGAGAUGAAAGGUGGCCGCUACAUGUAAGCUGGCACUGAAGGAGGGGAGUGCGGCUGAUUAGCUAGUUGGCGGGGUAGGGGACCCCCAAGGCGAGGAUCAGUAGACCGUCGGCUAGGAUGGACGGCCGCAUUGAGACGGAGACACGGCCCAGACUCCUUCGGGAGGGAGCCGGAGGGAUUCGGGCGGCAUGGAUGAAAGACUGACGGAGAAACGCCGCGGCAGGAAGGACCGCCGUCGGGUUGGAGAUGUCGGCUUUUCGGGACGAAAGCCCUUCUUGCUAAUACGUAGAGGGAUUGACGGUACCGGAUUAAAAAGCCACGGCUAACUACGUG